AAAUAAGUCAAGUAACUACUCUACAUUUCCGAUAUGGGAAAUUAGUUGCUUGACUUAAAGAAAGGAGUGAACAAAAGUACCGUUGGCUCACGGUAUGGCAUUGUAGAGAGAUGCCAUUAUGUACACUAAGCCAUAAAGGCUUGAGUGUAUGAGUAAAACCUAUAAAUAUUGUAGAUAAUUUUAGAUCUUUAUAGGUUUUACAGAGCUGAAACAUAGGGUG
Thermoanaerobacter pseudethanolicus ATCC 33223 is the source of this 220-nucleotide regulatory RNA element. It matches the Rfam family "malK-I RNA". The record is from Rfam. Lineage: Bacteria; Bacillati; Bacillota; Clostridia; Thermoanaerobacterales; Thermoanaerobacteraceae.